GAUGAACGCUGGCGGCGUGCUUAACACAUGCAAGUCGAACGAACCAUUUAAGACAGAUUACUGCGGUUUGAAGUCUUUUAUGACUGAUUGGCGGACGGGUGAGAAACGCGUGGGUAACCUGCCUCAUACAGGGGGAUAGCAGCUGGAAACGGCUGGUAAUACCGCAUAAGCGCCCAGUACCACAUGGUACAGUGUGUAAAACUCCGGUGGCAUGAGAUGGACCCGCGUCUGAUUAGCUUGUUGGCGGGGUAACGGCCCACCAAGGCGACGAUCAGUAGCCGAACUGAGAGGAUGACCGGCCACAUUGGGACUGAGACACGGCCCAGACUCCUACGGGAGGCAGCAGUGGGGAAUAUUGCGCAAUGGAGGAAACUCUGAUGCAGCGACGCCGCGUGAGUGAAGAAGUAGUUAGGUAUGUAAAACUCUAUCAGCAGGGAAGAUAGUGACGGUACCUGAAUAAGAAGCGCCGGCUAAAUACGUG
Molecule: ribosomal RNA, 481 nt
Filed under: uncultured bacterium
Lineage: Bacteria
Description: partial 16S ribosomal RNA
Rfam family: Bacterial small subunit ribosomal RNA
Source: RNAcentral